Molecule: small nucleolar RNA, 128 nt
Organism: Acanthochromis polyacanthus (spiny chromis)
Lineage: Eukaryota; Metazoa; Chordata; Actinopteri; Pomacentridae
Source: Ensembl
CUGCCAGUCAAGUGCAGCUGCUGAUCUGUGUGUUCUGCAGCUGGUUUAUCUCCUGGCUAGAUCACUGCCAGAGUACGAGCUCCGGCAUCGGCUAGUGUUGUCUGGAGUCCCUGACAACGGCUACAUGC